ACGAGCCGUGUGCGGUGAAAGCCGCACGCACGGUUCUAAGGGGGGGAAAGUCCGAGAGGACCUACCUAUCCCAAU
Molecule: non-coding RNA, 75 nt
Organism: Ascoidea rubescens DSM 1968
Lineage: Eukaryota; Fungi; Ascomycota; Saccharomycetes; Ascoideales; Ascoideaceae
Source: Rfam